GAAAUGCGAUAAGUAAUGUGAAUUGCAGAAUUCAGUGAAUCAUCGAAUUUUUGAACGCACAUUGCGCCCGCCAGCACUCUGGCGGGCAUGCCUGUUCGAGCGUCAUUUCAACCCUCAGAACCCCUUGCGGGAUCUGGCGUUGGGGAUUGGCAUCCAGUCAGCCCCGAAAUCUAGUGGCGGUCCCUCCGCGACCUCCCCUGUGCAGUAGCGAUACCUCGCAGCGGGACAGCGGUCUGACCACGCCGUAAAACCCCCAACUUCUCAAGGUUGACCUCGAAUCAGGUAGGAAUACCCGCUGAACUUAAGC
RNAcentral lists this unclassified non-coding RNA (307 nucleotides) under plant metagenome. RNAcentral's name for it is "partial contains 5.8S ribosomal RNA, internal transcribed spacer 2, and large subunit ribosomal RNA". The stretch from base 1 to 105 matches the Rfam family "5.8S ribosomal RNA", at positions 50 to 154 of the family's 154-position model. The record is from RNAcentral.